UAACGAAUCUUCCGCAAUGCGCGAAAGCGUGACGGAGCAAUGCCGCGUGCAGGAUGAAGCCCUUCGGGGUGUAAACUGCUGUCAGAGUUUAGUAAGAAAGUGAACAGACUCAAAGGAAGGACCGGCUAACUUCGUGCCAGCAGCCGCGGUAAUACGAAGGGUCCGAGCGUUAAGCGGAAUCACUGGGCUUAAAGCGUACGCAGGCGGACUUGUAAGCAUCUUGUGAAAUCCCACCGCUCAACGGUGGAACUGCAGGGUGAACUAUAAGUCUUGAGGUCGGUAGGGGCUGUCGGAACGAUAGGUGGAGCGGUGAAAUGCGUAGAUAUCUAUCGGAACGCCGAAGGUGAAGACAGGCAGCUGGGCCGAUUCUGACGCUGAGGUACGAAAGCGUGGGUAGCGAACGGGAUUAGAUACCCCCGUAGUCC
RNAcentral lists this ribosomal RNA (425 nucleotides) under uncultured prokaryote. Its description in RNAcentral is "bacterial SSU rRNA". It matches the Rfam family "Bacterial small subunit ribosomal RNA", at positions 355 to 796 of the family's 1533-position model. The record is from RNAcentral.